UACGGGAGGUGCAAGCGUUACUCGGAAUUACUGGGCUUAAAGCGGGUGUAGGCGGAGAUGCAAGUGUCUUGUGAAAGCCCUCGGCUCAACCGGGGAAUUGCUCGGCAAACUGCAUUUCUUGAGGCAGAUAGAGGUGAGUGGAACGAGUGGUGGAGCGGUGAAAUGCGUAGAUAUCACUUGGAACGCCAGAGGCGAAAGCGGCUCACUGGAUCUGUCCUGACGCUGAGAUCCGAAAGCGUGGGGAGCAAACAGG
RNAcentral lists this ribosomal RNA (253 nucleotides) under uncultured bacterium. Its description in RNAcentral is "partial 16S ribosomal RNA". It matches the Rfam family "Bacterial small subunit ribosomal RNA", at positions 524 to 776 of the family's 1533-position model. The record is from RNAcentral.